Molecule: ribosomal RNA, 433 nt
Filed under: uncultured bacterium
Lineage: Bacteria
Description: partial 16S ribosomal RNA
Rfam family: Bacterial small subunit ribosomal RNA
Source: RNAcentral
AACGAACGCUGGCGGCAUGCCUAACACAUGCAAGUCGAACGAGACCUUCGGGUCUAGUGGCGCACGGGUGCGUAACGCGUUGGAACCUGCCCUUAGGUUCGGAAUAACUCCCCGAAAUGGGUGCUAAUACCGGUUAAUGUCUUCGGACCAAAGAUUUAUCGCCUUUGGUUGGGCCCGCGUUGGAUUAGCUAGUUGGUAGGGUAAAAGCCUACCAAGGCUACGAUCCAUAGCUGGUCUGAGAGGAUGAUCAGCCACACUGGGACUGAGACACGGCCCAGACUGCUACGGGAGGCAGCAGUGGGGAAUAUUGGAAAAUGGGCGAAAGCCUGAUCCAGCAAUGCGGCGUGAGUGAUGAAGGGCGUAGGGUUGUAAAGCUCUUUUACCCGGGAUGAUAAUGACAGUACCGGGAGAAUAAGCACCGGCUAACUCCGUG